ACCUGGGUAGCUCAGUCGGUUAAGCAUCUGACUUUAGCUCAGGUUGUGGUCUCACAGUUCAUGGGUUCAAGCCCCACAUCAGGCU
Felis catus (domestic cat) is the source of this 85-nucleotide transfer RNA. It matches the Rfam family "tRNA". Rfam says of the family: Transfer RNA (tRNA) molecules are approximately 80 nucleotides in length. Their secondary structure includes four short double-helical elements and three loops (D, anti-codon, and T loops). Further hydrogen bonds mediate the characteristic L-shaped molecular structure. tRNAs have two regions of fundamental functional importance: the anti-codon, which is responsible for specific mRNA codon recognition, and the 3' end, to which the tRNAs corresponding amino acid is attached (by aminoacyl-tRNA synthetases). tRNAs cope with the degeneracy of the genetic code in two manners: having more than one tRNA (with a specific anti-codon) for a particular amino acid; and 'wobble' base-pairing, i.e. permitting non-standard base-pairing at the 3rd anti-codon position. The record is from Rfam. Lineage: Eukaryota; Metazoa; Chordata; Mammalia; Carnivora; Felidae.